CCGGGGAACGCUGCCUCUGCCGCAAAGAUGCCCCCUUCCGCUGGAAAGCGGUGCCUCCCUGGGUGCUCGCGAAAGCAGCCCUGAGAAUGGCAGCUCUCAGAGGUUGAAGUCAUUCUUUUCGGGGGACGGGGCACGGCGACUGUUUGAUUGGGGGCCUCGCUAGAGGAAUGUGCAAGGACAGAAGGGAAACUGAGGAGACCCGCAACUCAUUAGCGAAAUAAUAGGGUGCACUUCAAUAAAAAUGCGGUCCUGAAGUGGAGCAGACUCACCGGCAAGGAGCCCGGAAAAUCGUCAGGGGCGGCGGCAAAAUACUAUCAAAUCAGCCUGGGAAGCAUCUUUUCGCUCAGCAAGUUCAAGAGAACAAAUAUGUUACAAUCCUUGCCUAUUCUUGCCUCCACUUCAUAAUGUCAUAAAAGCCACCUGGGGUGUCAUUUAUCAACCUCUCUCCAGCCCACUCUUCCAAAAUAACACUACAGUUUCCUACAUGUGUAUUUUUGCCAGGACUCCAAAGAGCCUUGCUAAAGUGGAACAAGG
Molecule: long non-coding RNA, 534 nt
Filed under: Homo sapiens (human)
Lineage: Eukaryota; Metazoa; Chordata; Mammalia; Primates; Hominidae
Description: non-protein coding lnc-PRDM8-4:5
Source: RNAcentral